This 241-nucleotide ribosomal RNA is filed under the name uncultured bacterium. Its description in RNAcentral is "partial 16S ribosomal RNA". It matches the Rfam family "Bacterial small subunit ribosomal RNA", at positions 532 to 772 of the family's 1533-position model. The record is from RNAcentral.
GGGCGAGCGUUAUCCGGAUUUACUGGGUGUAAAGGGAGCGUAGACGGCAUGGCAAGUCUGAAGUGAAAGCCCGCGGCUUAACCGCGGAACUGCUUUGGAAACUUUUUUGCUGGAGUACCGGAGAGGUAAGCGGAAUUCCUAGUGUAGCGGUGAAAUGCGUAGAUAUUAGGAGGAACACCAGUGGCGAAGGCGGCUUACUGGACGGUAACUGACGUUGAGGCUCGAAAGCGUGGGGAGCAAA